Molecule: long non-coding RNA, 1313 nt
Organism: Ipomoea triloba (trilobed morning glory)
Lineage: Eukaryota; Viridiplantae; Streptophyta; Magnoliopsida; Solanales; Convolvulaceae
Exons: 2
Source: RefSeq, a predicted model, not a curated record
UAUUUCAAGUUGCAGCUCUUCAACCAUCGCCCACCAUCGCCAAACACAUUCGAAAACCUAGCUAGCCGAACGUCACCGCCGAACACAGUCCACCGCCUUCGCCGUCGACCAGAGUGGCCACUAUCGUCGACCCAGUCGUCGCCCAGUUCGCUGACCGCCUUCGCCCACUGUCUCCUCCUUCGCCGCCGUCUCCUCUGCUUUCUCCGUUCAUGCAUCCUCGCCGCCUAGCUUCGCAUUCGUCGUCCCAGCCGCCGUCGCAUCCCAGCUGCAUCGCAUCGCCUAGGUCUUAGCCGUCGCUCGUCGCCUGUCGUCGUAGCCCUCAAUCGUUGUUCGUCGCCAUUGCCGCCCUAUCGCAGCUACUUCAUACGUCGCCGUCUCUAAUAUAGUCCUUACUAACAGGUUUCUCAUAUCCCUUAAAUGGUGUUUGUGAAGAGAUUUUUGAGCAAGAUUUUGUUUGUUAUACAAGGGGACAGGUACAAACAUUCUGAGUAAAAAAAUUACACUAUCCAUGCUUACACACUUGUGAUAUUUGAUUCUGCUUAUAUGAUCUUACCUUCACCCUUGCAGUUCUCCUUUAAUGACUUAUUUGAUGUUUUACAUAAUUUUAUAUAUUUAAUGUUAGAUACUUAGAUAGUUAGAUGUUAGUAUAAAGAGGGAUUUUUGUUGCAUUGUUAUUAGGGUGAUGCCCUUUAUAGAAAAUAUGCAAAUAGAUAUUCAUCUCUGUUUUUUAGAAUCCCCAACUCCUUGAGGUUGAGUCUUGGAGGAUAUUUUCUGUUCCUAUAAGAUUGAAGCAUCUUUAAUCUGUCUCAUUGGAAGGAAAUAUGUACUAGGAAUUUGUAAGCUUGCUGCUUUGCAUUUCUUUUUGUUCUUUAUCCAUUUAUUUAUUUAUGAUGAGUCUCUUAGUUUUAUUCAUUUUGACAAGUGAAUGCACUAAGUAUGCUUGAUUUUGUUCUUGUAUGAUAUUGUAGCAUAUGGCGGAAUUGGAAUUGAUGUUGACAAGUGAGUCAACAUUGUAAACUAGAUUGGUCUUCAUACUCUGUUUAUUUUCUCUUUUACUUCAGUCACUUGUUUUGAUUGUUGGCAUGUGAUUCCUAAGAUAUCUAUUUGACUUUCAGGUUUGACUACAUUGUUUGUGAGAGCCGAGCUUGUGGACUGUUGUUUGUGAAGACAAUAUUAUAUAUAUUGUUGUUUAGAUUUGGAUAGAUUUGUAUUGACUAUUAUUACUUACUAAAUUUGGAUUGAAAAUGUAUUUUGUUACUUGAACUUAAUGUAGAUUGAUGAUGUUUUAGAAUUAUUUUAUAUUUUAGAAUUAA